Molecule: ribosomal RNA, 756 nt
Filed under: Triticum aestivum (bread wheat)
Lineage: Eukaryota; Viridiplantae; Streptophyta; Magnoliopsida; Poales; Poaceae
Description: partial small subunit ribosomal RNA
Source: RNAcentral
AUGACGCUAUCGCCUAUCGAAAGAUUCAAUAUGCAUCGAAGUGUGAAUGGCUUUCUCAAUUUCGCGAUGGCAAAUAUGAUACAAAAGGGUGAAGUGCAGAUAUUAUGUCCAUGUUUGACAUGGGAAAAUGGAAUUUUGCACAACCCGUUUGAAGGCAGCCUGCUGGCGCACUUGCUCCGUCGCGGUUUCGUUGCAGGUGAUACACGGUGGCCAAAGCAUGGUGAGGAGGAUGUUAGCGAUGAUGGAGGAAACAAUGACGUAGAAAACUCUGGCGAUGAACAGGCAGAGCCGCCAGAAGGAGGAAACAAUGAACAUGCGCAUGGAGAAGGAAAUGAUGAAAUGCCACCCGAACAUGAAGAGGACCAUGAGACUGUCACGCAGGAUAUGUCGUUGGCUACAAUGCUACAAGAUCCUCAUGUUAAAGAUCUGCUUCGGAAGAAGACAACAAGCGAGAGAGCUGCUAUUAAAGAGGCUGUAAAGUUGGCGCAAUUGGAAAUAGACACGAAAACUCCACUGCAUGAAGGUUGCAAUCCCGAGAAAAAGCGCUUGCACAUCACACUCAAACUUCUGGACAUCAAGGCAAGAUUCAAGAGCACAGAUGCAAGUCUGGAUGCUACAUUGAAAUAUUUACACAAAGUUUUGCCCAAGGGGAAUUUUUUGCCUCGCAGUGUUGAUGAGGCAAAGAAGAUUCUGUGUCCGAUUGAUUUGCCACAUGUAAGAUAUCACGCAUGCAUAAAUGAUUGCAUCUUAUAUUGA